This 510-nucleotide ribosomal RNA is filed under the name uncultured bacterium. Its description in RNAcentral is "bacterial SSU rRNA". It matches the Rfam family "Bacterial small subunit ribosomal RNA", at positions 1 to 507 of the family's 1533-position model. The record is from RNAcentral.
CGACUACGAGUUUGAUCCUGGCUCAGAUUGAACGCUGGCGGCAUGCUUUACACAUGCAAGUCGAACGGUAACAGGUCUUCGGGUGCUGACGAGUGGCGAACGGGUGAGUAAUGCAUCGGAACGUGCCCAAUCGGUGGGGGAUAACGUAGCGAAAGUUACGCUAAUACCGCAUAAGCCCUGAGGGGGAAAGUGGGGGGACCGCAAGGCCUCACGCGAAUGGAGCGGCCGAUGUCAGAUUAGCUAGUUGGUGGGGUAAAGGCUCACCAAGGCGACGAUCUGUAGCGGGUCUGAGAGGAUGAUCCGCCACACUGGGACUGAGACACGGUCCAGACUCCUACGGGAGGCAGCAGUGGGGAAUUUUGGACAAUGGGGGCAACCCUGAUCCAGCCAUGCCGCGUGAGUGAAGAAGGCCUUCGGGUUGUAAAGCUCUUUCGGCCGGGAAGAAAUCGCAUGGGUUAAUACCCUGUGUGGAUGACGGUACCGGCAUAAGAAGCACCGGCUAACUACGUG